This 387-nucleotide long non-coding RNA is filed under the name Struthio camelus australis. RNAcentral describes it as "lncRNA (ENSSCUG00000012228.1)". The record is from RNAcentral. Lineage: Eukaryota; Metazoa; Chordata; Aves; Struthioniformes; Struthionidae.
GGAGACACAGGAAAGGUGUGUGUUUGGGCAGGGGGGGGUGCUGAGAUUCGUCUUACCUGCUGUAAAGGGUAAGUUUCUGUUUGCAGUUGAGACACUUAUAUUUGCUGUCCCAUGUAGGUUGCUCUGUGUGUGUGAGGUGUGCAAACUCUCACAGUAGUUUCAGGGUUUGAUUCAGUAGAACAUACACAGGUAUUUAGUGCCAUUUUAAGCUGUGGACAACUCCCUGAGGCUGGCAGAUGUGGUACUGGAUUUGCAGGAAAUCCCCAGUCAGCAGCUGGAGGUGGACAGUGUACAGCAUCAGUAACACAUGCAUCAGCACGAGGGGCAGCUGCUGAAGAACCACUCCUGCAGAAGACAUUUCGUCAUUGGGUAUCCACAAUACUCUGA